This 775-nucleotide ribosomal RNA is filed under the name uncultured phototrophic eukaryote. Its description in RNAcentral is "bacterial SSU rRNA". It matches the Rfam family "Bacterial small subunit ribosomal RNA", at positions 60 to 873 of the family's 1533-position model. The record is from RNAcentral.
AGUCGUACGAGAGUUUUUAACUCAAGUGGCGGACGGGUGAGUAACACGUAAGAAUUUGCCUUUAGGAGGGGGACAACAACUGGAAACGGUUGCUAAUACCCCAUAUGCUUUCGAGUGAAAUGGAUUUUUCCGCCUAGAGAGAAGCUUGCGGCUGAUUAGCUUGUUGGUGAGGUAAUGGCUCACCAAGGCGACGAUCAGUAUCUGGUUUGAGAGGACGAUCAGACACACUGGAACUGAGACACGGUCCAGACUCCUACGGGAGGCAGCAGUGGGGAAUUUUCCGCAAUGGGCGAAAGCCUGACGGAGCAAUACCGCGUGAGGGAUGACGGCCUAUGGGUUGUAAACCUCUUUUUUCAGGGAGGAAUAAAAUGACGUGUACCUGAAGAAUAAGCAUCGGCUAACUCCGUGCCAGCAGCCGCGGUAAGACGGAGGAUGCAAGUGUUAUCCGGAAUCACUGGGCGUAAAGCGUCUGUAGGUGGUCCAAUAAGUCAACUGUUAAAUCUUGAGGCUCAACCUCAAAACCGCAGUCGAAACUAUUAGACUAGAGUAUAGUAGGGGUAAAGGGAAUUUCCAGUGGAGCGGUGAAAUGCGUAGAGAUUGGAAAGAACACCGAUGGCGAAGGCACUUUACUGGGCUAUUACUAACACUCAGAGACGAAAGCUAGGGUAGCAAAUGGGAUUAGAUACCCCAGUAGUCCUAGCCGUAAACAAUGGAUACUAGAUGUUGAACAGAUCGACCUGUGCAGUAUCAAAGCUAACGCGUUAAGUAUCCCGCC